Molecule: transfer RNA, 68 nt
Filed under: Megaphragma amalphitanum
Lineage: Eukaryota; Metazoa; Arthropoda; Insecta; Hymenoptera; Trichogrammatidae
Description: tRNA-Tyr
Source: RNAcentral
AGUAAUAUGUCUGAAUUAAAGUAAUAAACUGUAAAUUUAUUUAUAGAUAUAUAAUUAUCUUAUUACUA